This 557-nucleotide ribosomal RNA is filed under the name Citrobacter freundii. RNAcentral describes it as "partial 23S ribosomal RNA". It matches the Rfam family "Bacterial large subunit ribosomal RNA", at positions 2261 to 2817 of the family's 2925-position model. The record is from RNAcentral. Lineage: Bacteria; Pseudomonadati; Pseudomonadota; Gammaproteobacteria; Enterobacterales; Enterobacteriaceae.
GUGGGUAGUUUGACUGGGGCGGUCUCCUCCUAAAGAGUAACGGAGGAGCACGAAGGUUAGCUAAUCCUGGUCGGACAUCAGGAGGUUAGUGCAAAGGCAUAAGCUAGCUUGACUGCGAGAGUGACGGCUCGAGCAGGUGCGAAAGCAGGUCUUAGUGAUCCGGUGGUUCUGAAUGGAAGGGCCAUCGCUCAACGGAUAAAAGGUACUCCGGGGAUAACAGGCUGAUACCGCCCAAGAGUUCAUAUCGACGGCGGUGUUUGGCACCUCGAUGUCGGCUCAUCACAUCCUGGGGCUGAAGUAGGUCCCAAGGGUAUGGCUGUUCGCCAUUUAAAGUGGUACGCGAGCUGGGUUUAGAACGUCGUGAGACAGUUCGGUCCCUAUCUGCCGUGGGCGCUGGAGAAUUGAGGGGGGCUGCUCCUAGUACGAGAGGACCGGAGUGGACGCAUCACUGGUGUUCGGGUUGUCAUGCCAAUGGCAUUGCCCGGUAGCUAAAUGCGGAAGAGAUAAGUGCUGAAAGCAUCUAAGCACGAAACUUGCCCCGAGAUGAGUUCUCCCUG